RNAcentral lists this ribosomal RNA (424 nucleotides) under uncultured bacterium. Its description in RNAcentral is "bacterial SSU rRNA". It matches the Rfam family "Bacterial small subunit ribosomal RNA", at positions 356 to 773 of the family's 1533-position model. The record is from RNAcentral.
AGGGAAUCUUCCGCAAUGGACGAAAGUCUGACGGAGCAACGCCGCGUGAGUGAUGAAGGUUUUCGGAUCGUAAAGCUCUGUUGCCAGGGAAGAACGUCCGUUAGAGUAACUGCUAACGGAGUGACGGUACCUGAGAAGAAAGCCCCGGCUAACUACGUGCCAGCAGCCGCGGUAACACGUAGGGGGCAAGCGUUGUCCGGAAUUAUUGGGCGUAAAGCGCGCGCAGGCGGCUGGUUAAGUCUGGUGGUUAAUCCUGGGGCUCAACCCCGGGUCGCACUGGAAACUGGGCAGCUUGAGUGCAGAAGAGGAGAGUGGAAUUCCACGUGUAGCGGUGAAAUGCGUAGAGAUGGGGAGGAACACCAGUGGCGAAGGCGACUCUCUGGGCUGUAACUGACGCUGAGGCGCGAAAGCGUGGGGAGCAAAC